This 189-nucleotide ribosomal RNA is filed under the name Pseudopedinella elastica. RNAcentral's name for it is "partial Bacterial large subunit ribosomal RNA". It matches the Rfam family "Bacterial large subunit ribosomal RNA", at positions 2740 to 2925 of the family's 2925-position model. The record is from RNAcentral. Lineage: Eukaryota; Dictyochophyceae; Pedinellales.
GCAGGGUAGCUAUGCAUGGACGGGAUAACCGCUGAAAGCAUCUAAGCGGGAAGCCCCUUCCAAGAUGAGAUCUCCCUGGACCCUCGAGGUCCCUGAAGAGCCGUUCAAGACCAGGACGUUGAUAGGUCGGGUGUGUAAGCGCUGCGAGGCGUUGAGCUAACCGAUACUAAUUGCUCGUGCGGCUUGACU